UACGAAGGGGGGCGAGCGUUUGUUCGGAAUUACUGGGCGUAAAGCGUGCGCAGGCGGCUUCUCAAGUCAGGGGUGAAAGCCCAGAGCUCAACUCUGGAAUUGCCUUUGAGACUGAGUGGCUUGAGUACGAGAGAGGUGAGUGGACUUCCCAGUGUAGCGGUGAAAUGCGUAGAUAUCGGGAGGAACACCAGUGGCGAAGGGCGGCGACCCUGGACGGACAACUGACGCUGAGACGCGAAAGCGUGGGGAGCAAACAGGG
Molecule: ribosomal RNA, 259 nt
Filed under: uncultured bacterium
Lineage: Bacteria
Description: partial 16S ribosomal RNA
Rfam family: Bacterial small subunit ribosomal RNA
Source: RNAcentral